This is a long non-coding RNA of Equus quagga, 252 nucleotides long. RefSeq lists it as uncharacterized. Lineage: Eukaryota; Metazoa; Chordata; Mammalia; Perissodactyla; Equidae. The transcript is spliced from 3 exons. The record is from RefSeq and is a predicted model, not a curated record.
UGGACUCUGCACCUGAGGAAGAAGGCGAAAGUGGAGGAGAGAAGAGGAAGCUCUUUUUCCCUUCAGGAACCGGAUGUGCUUCUCCUCCAGCCUCACUGACUCUGAAGUGAAAUUAUGGUGCUCACCUCCUCAGCCUUCCUCACCACAAAACACCACCUUCCAACAGAAAGAAUCGCUGUCACGGGGUGGAGAAUAAAAAGGAUGAAGAAUGUUGCUAAGAGAAAGCCGCAAGGCUCCUGUAUGGUGUUUCUG